ACCCUCACAUUCGUUUCCGUUCUCCAUCUUCUCUUAAUUACCCUCUCUACUUGACAAAGUUUCUUCUGGCUGUCUGUCUGUCUGUCUGUCUGCCUCUGUGUGUGUGUGUAUACUAUACAUACACAUAUAUAGCUUCUGUCGGGGGUAACUUCAACUGAACCGACCGACCGUUGCGAUAUGUGCCAGGAAGCAACGUGUGCAUAUUCCAUUUCCAGAACAUACGAUUGGCUGGACAUCUAACAGCUUCCUUCGCGAUUCCAUUCCAAGCCAAGGGUUCCUAGCUGCCGAUGGGUUAGUCAUGAGUCAGAACGAAAAAGAUUAAUUGAAAGUAACAAAGGGCUUCCCCCUUCACCUUUCUUAACGCUAGUACUGUCUGAAGAAAUUUUCUAGCCUUCUACAACAACUUCUAUUCUUGUGUCUUUGUUCCUCUUUUGAGGACAAGAUUACAUAUAUAAAAGACGAAUUUAUCAAAAUUAGUAUUAACACGUGAAUAUCAUUUCCAUGAUAUAAUUCAAUUCCAACUUUCAAUUUGCGUCUGUACACUUGGAGCCAGCAACGUGUGUGUGUGUCUAUAUAUAUACAUAUAUUUUUUUUUUACAUGAAGUAUAGAGUAGCCACCUAGUUUGAAAUGAAGAAGCAUCCAGGUGAUUCACAAUUCCAGAAGUCCAGCAGUAGAUUGAUUAAAGGAGGUCAGGUCUGAUUUCGUGGUCUACCCGCUACAUUAAAGGGAACUGGACUCUUUUUUUUUUUUUUUGGUCAACGCAGGGGUGUCCAGGUCAAUCUUUACGGGGCCCGAUUAAUUUCCUGCGGUCCGGGAGAGGAGGCCCCACUCCACACCGAGCACGUUAACAGCGGGACUCGAACUCUGGACAAGCCAGAAAGAUCGCCAUACUCUAAGGAGGGGGAGCGGACCGUUCGAGCUAUCCCGUGGGGGCAGAAAACCAGCCACGUAAAAUGACAAGUUUGUAGGAGGUCAGGGGUUCAGCAUCACCAAAGAGGGUGAUGACCACUGGACCAAAUGGCCAGUGGCUGGGGACUGGACUUUGAGACCAAGACCAAAAUGUCAAGUCGUCGACAAUUUCCAUUACACUUGAUGCACGUACUUAUAUACGCCACAAAAUUGUUUUUAAUUGAAUGGCUGCCCGCAUCAAAGGUCAAAUCACAAGCUUCUAGAAAACGAGCGAUUGAGCUAGCAAAAUUUGUAAUAUGAACAUUGUCACGCUUUGCAAAGAUAUGAGGUGCCAUUUUAGGAUUCUAUUUCCCAGUACAAUGGCCGAAAUGAACCCUCUAUCUCCAUCAUCUCUUCCAAGUUAGUGUGCCGGCAUCUUCCUGUAAGUUAUUUCUCCCCAUUCCCCCUUUCUCAAAACAAGGGGGGAAGAGCCUUAAAUUGAAAUAUAAAAUUGUUUCUAUGAAACCUUCUGCCCUAUCAUAGAUUGGAUGUAUAUGCAUGACCCAAGUCACUAUUCUUUUGUGUUUA
This is a long non-coding RNA of Coffea arabica (coffee), 1477 nucleotides long. RefSeq lists it as uncharacterized. NCBI's taxonomy places the organism in Eukaryota, Viridiplantae, Streptophyta, Magnoliopsida, Gentianales, Rubiaceae. The record is from RefSeq and is a predicted model, not a curated record.